CCUACGGGUGGCAGCAGUGAGGAAUAUUGGUCAAUGGACGAGAGCCUGAACCAGCCAAGCCGCGUGAAGGAUGACUGCCCUAUGUGUUGUAAACUUCUUUUAUAUGGGAAUAAACUGUUCCACGUGUGGGCUUUUGUAUGUACCAUAUGAAUAAGGAUCGGCUAACUCCGUGCCAGCAGCCGCGGUAAUACGGAGGAUCCGAGCGUUAUCCGGAUUUAAUGGGGUUAAAGGGGGCGUAGGUGGGUUGUUAAGUCAGUUGUGAAAGGUCAGGGCGAAAACUUAGGAUGACAGUGGAAACUGGCAGUCUUGAGUACAGUAGAGGUGAGCGGAAUUCGUGGUGUAGCGGUGAAAUGCUUAGAUAUCACGAAGAACACCGAUUGCGAAGGCAGCUCACUGGACUGCAACUGACGCUGAGGCUCGAAAGCGUGGGGAUCAAACAGGAUUAGAUACCCUUGUAGUC
Molecule: ribosomal RNA, 460 nt
Filed under: uncultured bacterium
Lineage: Bacteria
Description: partial 16S ribosomal RNA
Rfam family: Bacterial small subunit ribosomal RNA
Source: RNAcentral